GAUGAACGCUAGCUACAGGCUUAACACAUGCAAGUCGAGGGGAAACGACAUCGAAAGCUUGCUUUUGGUGGGCGUCGACCGGCGCACGGGUGAGUAACGCGUAUCCAACCUGCCCACCACUUGGGGAUAACCUUGCGAAAGUAAGACUAAUACCCAAUGAUAUCCCACGAAGGCAUCCGAAUGGGAUUAAAGAUUUAUCGGUGAUGGAUGGGGAUGCGUCUGAUUAGCUUGUUGGCGGGGUAACGGCCCACCAAGGCAACGAUCAGUAGGGGUUCUGAGAGGAAGGUCCCCCCACAUUGGAACUGAGACACGGUCCAAAACUCCUACGGGAGGCAGCAGUGAGGAAUAUUGGUCAAUGGGCGAGAGCCUGAACCAGCCAAGUAGCGUGCAGGACGACGGCCCUAUGGGUUGUAAACUGCUUUUAUAGGGGGAUAAAGUGUGCCACGUGUGGCAUAUUGCAGGUACCCUAUGAAUAAGGACCGGCUAAAUUCCGUG
Molecule: ribosomal RNA, 495 nt
Filed under: uncultured bacterium
Lineage: Bacteria
Description: bacterial SSU rRNA
Rfam family: Bacterial small subunit ribosomal RNA
Source: RNAcentral